Non-coding RNA from Spinacia oleracea (spinach), 73 nucleotides. The record is from Rfam. Lineage: Eukaryota; Viridiplantae; Streptophyta; Magnoliopsida; Caryophyllales; Amaranthaceae.
AGUCUAUUAAGCUCAACUGGUAGAGCUAUUAUGCAAUUGCAUAAUGGUGUAGGUUCGAAUCCUACAUAGACUA